GAGCAUUUCAAAGUAUGGAAGAAUAGGGAAUAUUUUGGCAUUCCACAAGCAUUUUUCCAGAGUAUUCUCUGAGAUCCACAGAUCUGUAUCUUGAAUGCCUAGAUCAUCUAAAACCUUCCUCAAGGGUUUUCCACAAAAGGUACCAUUUGAGAGUGGAAUCUUUGGGUUAUCAUGGAUGCCACAGUACACAAUAACUCUUUCCGUGCGUUCCACUAAAGGAACCUCCCAAAAGCAAUGACGAUCUGGAAGCAUGAAUCUG
Molecule: unclassified non-coding RNA, 259 nt
Filed under: Hevea brasiliensis (rubber tree)
Lineage: Eukaryota; Viridiplantae; Streptophyta; Magnoliopsida; Malpighiales; Euphorbiaceae
Source: RNAcentral